AACGAACGCUGGCGGCAUGCCUAACACAUGCAAGUCGAACGAGACCUUCGGGUCUAGUGGCGCACGGGUGCGUAACGCGUGGGAAUCUGCCCCUUGGUUCGGAAUAACUUCGGGAAACUGAAGCUAAUACCGGAUAAUGACGUAAGUCCAAAGAUUUAUCGCCAAGGGAUGAGCCCGCGUAGGAUUAGCUAGUUGGUGGGGUAAAGGCUCACCAAGGCGACGAUCCUUAGCUGGUCUGAGAGGAUGAUCAGCCACACUGGGACUGAGACACGGCCCAGACUCCUACGGGAGGCAGCAGUGGGGGAAUAUUGGACAAUGGGCGAAAGCCUGAUCCAGCAAUGCCGCGUGAGUGAUGAAGGCCUUAGGGUUGUAAAGCUCUUUCACCCACGACGAUGAUGACGGUAGUGGGAGAAGAAGCCCCGGCUAACUUCGUGCCAGCAGCCGCGGUAAU
Molecule: ribosomal RNA, 451 nt
Filed under: uncultured bacterium
Lineage: Bacteria
Description: bacterial SSU rRNA
Rfam family: Bacterial small subunit ribosomal RNA
Source: RNAcentral